CCUACGGGAGUCAGCAGUGGGGAAUAUUGCACAAUGGGGGAAACCCUGAUGCAGCCACGCCGCGUGAGUGAAGAUGUAUUUCGGUCUGUAAAGCUCUAUCAUCCGGGACGAAGAUUACGGUACCUGAGUAAGAAGCCCCGGCUCACUACGUGCCAGCAGCCUCGCUAAUACGUAGGGGGCAAGCGUUAUCCGGGUUUACUGUGGGUUAAGGGGGCGUAGACGGUGAGACAAGUCGGAAGUGAAAGCCCGGGUCUCAACCCCGGGACUGCUUUGGAAAAUGCCUGACUGGAGUGCUGGAGAGGCGAGCGGAAUUCCUAGUGUAGCGGUGAAAUGCGUAGAUAUUAGGAAGAACACCAGUGGCGAAGGCGGCUUGCGGGACAGUAACUGACGUUGAGGCUCGAAAGCGUGGGGAGCAAACAGGAUUAGAUACCCUUGUAGUC
This 440-nucleotide ribosomal RNA is filed under the name uncultured bacterium. Its description in RNAcentral is "partial 16S ribosomal RNA". It matches the Rfam family "Bacterial small subunit ribosomal RNA", at positions 338 to 795 of the family's 1533-position model. The record is from RNAcentral.